RNAcentral lists this ribosomal RNA (116 nucleotides) under uncultured bacterium. Its description in RNAcentral is "partial 16S ribosomal RNA". It matches the Rfam family "Bacterial small subunit ribosomal RNA", at positions 1367 to 1482 of the family's 1533-position model. The record is from RNAcentral.
UACGUUCCCGGGUCUUGUACACACCGCCCGUCACACCAUGGGAGCGGGUUUUACCAGAAGUAGGUAGCUUAACCGCAAGGAGGGCGCUUACCACGGUAGGAUUCGUGACCGGGGUG